Molecule: long non-coding RNA, 383 nt
Filed under: Zostera marina
Lineage: Eukaryota; Viridiplantae; Streptophyta; Magnoliopsida; Alismatales; Zosteraceae
Description: long non-coding RNA (ZMAR_LNC000573)
Source: RNAcentral
AAGUUCAUAUGUCUAAACAUAUGAAAAAUAUCAGUGUGAGCAAAAAAAAAACAAUAAAUGUAUUGAGUUAAACCACAAUUCACAGAAUACCAGAAAUUCUGGAAAUACUGCCCAAAACUCAGAAUACAGAUCAAAAAAUGAUCAAAUGAAUCCAGGACAGUAUGAAUUAUAUGAUUCACUAAUUCAUACACCUAGUCAUGAUUCUGUUGAGUUAAAUCAUAACUCACAAAAUAUCAAAAAUUCUGAAUAUAAUAAAAAAAAUUCAGUAAAUGUUCAGAAUGAUCAAACUUCCCUCUAUUCUGAAAAUUUUCAGAAUGAUGACAUAAGAUCAUCAGAUAUAGGACUAAUUCAUACACCUAGUCAUGAUUCUGUUGAGUUAAAUC